This 407-nucleotide ribosomal RNA is filed under the name uncultured bacterium. RNAcentral describes it as "bacterial SSU rRNA". It matches the Rfam family "Bacterial small subunit ribosomal RNA", at positions 355 to 776 of the family's 1533-position model. The record is from RNAcentral.
UGGGGAAUAUUGGGCAAUGGGGGAAACCCUGACCCAGCAACGCCGCGUGAGGGAAGAAGGUCUUCGGAUUGUAAACCUCUUUUACCAGGGAAGAAGAAAGUGACGGUACCUGGAGAAAAAGCCACGGCUAACUACGUGCCAGCAGCCGCGGUAAUACGUAGGUGGCAAGCGUUGUCCGGAUUUACUGGGUGUAAAGGGCGUGUAGGCGGGAAGACAGGUCAGAUGUGAAAUGUCGGGGCUCAACCCCGGAACUGCAUUUGAAACCGUUUUUCUUGAGUAUCGGAGAGGCAGGCGGAAUUCCUAGUGUAGCGGUGAAAUGCGUAGAUAUUAGGAGGAACACCAGUGGCGAAGGCGGCCUGCUGGACGACAACUGACGCUGAGGCGCGAAAGCGUGGGGAGCAAACAGG